Molecule: non-coding RNA, 73 nt
Organism: Trichonephila inaurata madagascariensis
Lineage: Eukaryota; Metazoa; Arthropoda; Arachnida; Araneae; Nephilidae
Source: the annotation of a GenBank genome assembly
GUUCCUGUCGCGCAAUGGAUAACGCGUUGAACUUCUAAUCCAAAGGUUAUGUGUUCGAAUGCUAACUGGAAUG